Molecule: long non-coding RNA, 828 nt
Organism: Oncorhynchus keta (chum salmon)
Lineage: Eukaryota; Metazoa; Chordata; Actinopteri; Salmoniformes; Salmonidae
Exons: 3
Source: RefSeq, a predicted model, not a curated record
UAGGCUAUAUUACAUGGAUUUAUUGUGAUGGUGUAGGCUAUAUUACAUGGAUUUAUUGUGAUGGUGUAGGCUAUAUUACAUGGAUUUAUUGUGAUGGUGUAGGCUAUAUUACAUGGAUUUAUUGUGAUGGUGUAGGCUAUAUUACAUGGAUUUAUUGUGAUGGUGUAGGCUAUAUUACAUGGAUUUAUUGUGAUGGUGUAGGCUAUAUUACAUGGAUUUAUUGUGAUGGUGUAGGCUAUAUUACAUGGAUUUAUUGUGAUGGUGUAGGCUAUAUUACAUGGAUUUAUUGUGAUGGUGUAGGCUAUAUUACAUGGAUUUAUUGUGAUGGUGUAGGCUAUAUUACAUGGAUUUAUUGUGAUGGUGUAGGCUAUAUUACAUGGAUUUAUUGUGAUGGUGUAGGCUAUAUUACAUGGAUUUAUUGUGAUGGUGUAGGCUAUAUUACAUGGAUUUAUUGUGAUGGUGUAGGCUAUAUUACAUGGAUUUAUUGUGAUGGUGUAGGCUAUAUUACAUGGAUUUAUUGUGAUGGUGUAGGCUAUAUUACAUGGAUUUAUUGUGAUGGUGUAGGCUAUAUUACAUGGAUUUAUUGUGAAGGUGUAGGCUAUAUUACAUGGAUUUAUUGUGAUGGUGUAGGCUAUAGAACAUGGAUUUAUUGUGAUGGUGUAGGCUAUAGAACAUGGAUUUAUUGUGAUGGUGUAGGCUAUAUUACAUGGAUUUAUUGUGAUGGUGUAGGCUAUAUUACAUGGAUUUAUUAGACUUUUUCAAAUGUAGAUGUUCCAAAGGUCUGUAUCAGUGGCUUGUAGGCUACGUGUGGAAGCCAAUAGAUGCUAA